UAGCGGGGUAGAGGAGAGGUACCUCGGGAGGCUCAUAACCUCCAGACCCCGGUUCAUUCCGGGCCCGCACA
RNAcentral lists this transfer RNA (71 nucleotides) under Parcubacteria bacterium OLB19. Its description in RNAcentral is "tRNA-Met". The record is from RNAcentral. Lineage: Bacteria; Candidatus Parcubacteria.